AUGACGAGAACCGGAUCAAGCGCCAAGAACAAGGAAUCCGUCCAGACCGAGAUCGACAUGGAAUCGAAGAGGUCGUCAACGGCGGCGGGGCACAUCGCUGACCUCCCCGAGCAGAUCUGGUGGGCAAUCCUCGAGCGACUCCCGCCCAAGUCAGUCCUGCGAUUUCGUGCUGUCUGCAAAUCUUGGCUCAACCGCAUCAGCAACAACAAUUUCCUCGAAGAAUACCAUGGGCGCCAAAAGCCACAGCACCUGAUCGUCCCAGUCGAUCCAGACAACACCAGGCAUAAGAUGAGUCACCGUGUAGAUGCUGUUGAUUUCCAGCACCCCGAGGACGGUUUCCGCUCCAUAAUCAGCUUCACCAGCUUUGGAGUAUUUGAGGUCUUUGAUCCAGAUGAAGAAACCGCAGAGCAUCUAAUGUCUGCCGUACAGGGCUCAAUUGGAGGCCUCCUCCUCGUCUCCUUCGAGCACAGGUGCUAUAUCUGCAACCCAGGUACAAAAGAAUCACGCCGCCUCCCACAGCUGGAUGACCAUGAAAUCUUGGGACUGUACAUGCUGGGCGAUGAGUUUAGGGUCCUCUAUCUCAAGGAAGAUGAGGAGGGUGAUGCCGAAUUCUUCGUCCUGUCAGUGCAUCAAUCUCUUAGCAAUAAAUCCAUUGGGUACUGCCCUGUGUCGCCCGCGGCGAAUCUGCCAGAAAUUGAUGGACCGAAGAAGCUGGGGUUCAGCCUGCAGAGUUCGGCAAUUGAGCCGCCUGCCAUGGUCGGGGCCAACCUUUAUUGGGCACCGUUGGAGCUGUGGCCACGGGAAAUUACAGUUUUUGAUUACCAGUCUGAGCUUUUUCACUGGAUGAAGCUUCCCAAGACCAAGGAGCGCUCCAAGAGCAACACCAACAAUACGAUGAAGGUUCUUGAGUUGGACGGCGAGUUGGGGUUGUCUCUUCACAGGAGGGGUGAAUCAAGUGUUGAGCUAUGGGUAUUAGAUUCUCUGAAGAUGUGGGAGCUCAAACACAGUAUUCAGUUGCCGGUUGCAGAUAUCACUGGCUUUGGAGCACAUACCUGGGAUCCCUUUCUUAUGUCCAUGGAUGGAGGUGUGAUCGUAAGGUGCGUGUCCCAGGGCCAGGGCCAGGGAGGGGAAGGCCAACAAGGCACUCAGGCGCUCCUGUACUGCAACAGACACGGAGAGCUAGCGCCUGGACCACUGUUCGUAGGCGAUUUGGCUGCGCCUGCCAUACACCUAUUCAAGCAAAGCAUUAGGCGACAUGCCCUGUUCCAGGGGCAUCAGCAAGAUGCUACGUCUCCCUUGUCACUCUUCCGGGACCUCUAG
Molecule: ribosomal RNA, 1320 nt
Filed under: Triticum aestivum (bread wheat)
Lineage: Eukaryota; Viridiplantae; Streptophyta; Magnoliopsida; Poales; Poaceae
Description: partial small subunit ribosomal RNA
Source: RNAcentral